Molecule: ribosomal RNA, 1474 nt
Filed under: uncultured Bordetella sp.
Lineage: Bacteria; Pseudomonadati; Pseudomonadota; Betaproteobacteria; Burkholderiales; Alcaligenaceae
Description: partial 16S-23S ribosomal RNA intergenic spacer
Rfam family: Bacterial small subunit ribosomal RNA
Source: RNAcentral
GGUUCGAUCCUGGCUCAGAUUGAACGCUGGCGGGAUGUUUACACAUGCAAGUCGAACGGCAGCACGGACUUCGGUCUGGUGGCGAGUGGCGAACGGUGAGUAAUGCAUCGGAACGUGCCUAGUAGCGGGGGAUAACUACGCGAAAGCGUAGCUAAUACCGUAUACGCCCUUCGGGGGGAAAGUGGGGGGACCUUUGGGCCUGCACUAUUAGAGCGGCCGAUAUCGGAUUAGCUAGUUGGUGGGGUAACGGCUCACCAAGGCGACGAUCCAGCUGGUUUGAGAGGAUGACCAGCCACACUGGGACUGAGACACGGCCCAGACUCCUACGGGAGGCAGGGAAUUUUGGACAAAUGGGGAAACCCUGAUCCAGCCAUCCCUGCGUGUGCGAUGAAGGCUCAAGUUGUAAAGCACUUUUGGCAGGAAAGAAAACGGCACGGGAUAAUACCCCGUGCAACUGACGGUACCUGCAGAAUAAGCACCGGCUAACUACGUGCCAGCAGCCGCGGUAAUACGUAGGGUGCAAGCGUUAAUCGGAAUUACUGGGCGUGGGCGUGCGCAGGCGGUUCGGAAAGAAAGAUGUGAAAUCCCAGAGCUUAACUUUGGAACUGCAUUUUUAACUACUGAGCUAGAGUGUGUCGAGGGAGGUGGAAUUCGCGUAGCAGUGAAAUGCGUAGAUAUGCGGAGGAACACCGAUGGCGAAGGCAGCCUGGGAUAACACUGACGCUCAUGCACGAAAGCGCGGGGAGCAAACAGGAUUAGAUACCUCCUGGUAGAAAUCACGCCCUAAACGUGAUGUCAACUAGCUGUUGGGGCCUUCGGGCCUUGGUAGCGCAGCUAACGCGUGAAGUUGACCGCCUGGGGAGUACGUAGUCGCAAGAUUAAAACUCAAAGGAAUUGACGGGGACCUGCACAAGCGGUGGAUGAUGUGGAUUAAUUCGAUGCACGCGAAAACCUUACCUACCCUUGACAUGUCUGGAAUCCCGAAGAGAUUUGGGAGUGCUCGCAAGAGAACUGGAACACAGGUGCUGCAUGGCUGUCGUCAGCUCGUGUCGAGAUGCUGGGUUAAGUCCUGCAACGAGCGCAACCCUUGUCAUUGGGUUACGAAAGGGCACUCUAAUGAGACUGCCGGUGACAAACCGGAGGAAGGUGGGGAUGACGCUGCGUCCUCAUGGCCUCUUAUGGGUAGGGCUUCACACGUCAUACAAUGGUCGGGACAGAGGUCGCCAACCCGCGAGAGGGGGAGCCAAUCCCAGAAACCCGAUCGUAGUCCGGAUCGCAGUCUGCAACUCGACUGCGUGAAGUCGGAAUCGGCAGUAAUCGCGGAUCAGCAUGUCGCGGUGAAUACGUUCCCGGUCUUGUACACACCGCCUGUCACACCAUGGGAGUGGGUUUUACCAGAAGUAGUUAGCUCAACCGUAAGGAGGGCGAUUACCACGGUAGGAUUCAUGACUGGGGUGAAGUCGUAACAAGGUAG